CCACUAGACAAAUGAUACAAAAGGCAGAGCUUGACAGAUUCAAAUAAUUCCCUCACGUCACUACCCGUCUUCUUUACCUGAACUCUCACCAUUCUCUCUUGUAGCCAAUUGUUCUUGUUCUCACUAUUUUUCUAUUUGUUUUUUUUCCCCUAAUCCUUUAAUUAAUGCAGCACGACGCUCUCAUGGACUUUCUCCAAUCUCCAUUCUCCUAUGUUCUCUUCCUCAAGCUUCUCUCCAAUAUUCUCAAAUUCUCUUCUCUUGGAUCUGAAGACUCUGUUGUCAAAUCGAUUGGAUUUCAGGUGUUUGCUUCGACUUUCAUGGGUUGCGGAUGAACGGAAAUGUCUGAAUCUUCAUCGUGGUGAAUUGGAAUUUUCUGAUCAGAAGAUAUACCUUCCGACCAAACUAUUUUAAAUUAUGGAUUGCCCUUAUUCUCUGUGGGCAUUUUUUCCCUUGUGACGAUUGCUGUAGAUAUCUAAUUUCCAACGUAAAUGGCUUCAUCUUUGGAGGAACUUCUGGCAGAAGAAGGAUUCAAGGGAAGUAGAAGAAUCGCAAGGACCAGAUCUUCCCUCCAGUCUAAUCCUGUAACCAAGCCCCAUUACUCUAUCAUUGACCAAGAAAAGAGACUUUCUGUAUCAGAUGACAGAAUUAGAGCGGAGAGAACAAAAUCUUAUGCCUCACAAUGUCGGAUUGGAGAUAAUAGAGAUACUGCUCAGAGCUGGAGACCAAGGGAUAAUCUUGCUGAAAGAGAUAAAUUGGAUGAAGGAUUGAAGAAUGAAAAUGUUGAGAAAUCUUCCAGCAACACGAAGUUAAGUAAAAACCAUGACAGCAAACAUCAGCACGCAUACCUAGGAAAGAGAUAAUUGAAGUGGGUGAGCAAAAAGAUAAUAGAGUUAAAGAUAUAUAUUCCAAUGAAUUGUUGAUUGCAAAUAGAGGGAAAGAAAAAGAUUUCAUUGAUUUCAGGUAUAGGGAGAAGUGGCAUGGGACGCUGGUCAAGGAUGCAAAGUUGGAUAAGAGGCAUGGCAGCAGUUCUAGCACACUUAUGGUUGGACAGUUGAGUGGAAAUA
RNA transcript from Prosopis cineraria, 1064 nucleotides. RefSeq lists it as uncharacterized. Lineage: Eukaryota; Viridiplantae; Streptophyta; Magnoliopsida; Fabales; Fabaceae. The transcript is spliced from 3 exons. The record is from RefSeq and is a predicted model, not a curated record.